RNAcentral lists this ribosomal RNA (497 nucleotides) under uncultured bacterium. RNAcentral describes it as "partial 16S ribosomal RNA". It matches the Rfam family "Bacterial small subunit ribosomal RNA", at positions 28 to 507 of the family's 1533-position model. The record is from RNAcentral.
GAUGAACGCUGGCGGCGUGCCUAAUACAUGCAAGUCGAGCGAACAGACGAGGAGCUUGCUCCUCUGACGUUAGCGGCGGACGGGUGAGUAACACGUGGAUAACCUACCUAUAAGACUGGGAUCACUUCGGGACACCGGCGCUAAUACCGGAUAAUAUAUUGAUCCGCAUGGUUCAAUAGUGAAAGACGGUUUUGCUGUCACUUAUAGAUGGAUCCGCGCCGCAUUAGCUAGUUGGUAAGGUAACGGCUUACCAAGGCAACGAUGCGUAGCCGACCUGAGAGGGUGAUCGGCCACACUGGAACUGAGACACGGUCCAGACUCCUACGGGAGGCAGCAGUAGGGAAUCUGCCGCAAUGGGCGAAAGCAUGACGGAGCAACGCCGCGUGAGUGAUGAAGGUCUUCGGAUCGUAAAACUCUGUUAUUAGGGAAGAACAAAUGUGUAAGUAACUAUGCACGUCUUGACGGUACCUAAUCAGAAAGCCACGGCUAACUACGUG